AUACGGAGGGUGCAAGCGUUAUUCGGAAUCACUGGGCGUAAAGGACGCGUAGGCGGGUUGGCAAGUCAGAUGUGAAAUCCUACAGCUUAACUGUAGAACUGCAUUUGAAAUUGCUAACCUAGAGUAUGGGAGGGGGAGAUGGAAUUAGUGGUGUAGGGGUAAAAUCCGUAGAUAUCACUAGGAAUACCGAAAGCGAAGGCGAUUUCCUGGAACAUAACUGACGCUAAGGCGUGAAAGCGUGGGGAGCAAACAGGAUUAGAAACCCUAGUAGUCC
Molecule: ribosomal RNA, 274 nt
Filed under: uncultured bacterium
Lineage: Bacteria
Description: partial 16S ribosomal RNA
Rfam family: Bacterial small subunit ribosomal RNA
Source: RNAcentral